RNAcentral lists this ribosomal RNA (439 nucleotides) under uncultured bacterium. RNAcentral describes it as "partial 16S ribosomal RNA". It matches the Rfam family "Bacterial small subunit ribosomal RNA", at positions 339 to 795 of the family's 1533-position model. The record is from RNAcentral.
CUACGGGGCGCAGCAGUGAGGAAUAUUGCACAAUGGGGGGAACCCUGAUGCAGCAACGCCGCGUGGAGGAUGACGCAUUUCGGUGUGUAAACUCCUUUUAUAUGUCAAGAAAAUGACGGUAGCAUAUGAAUAAGCACCGGCUAACUCCGUGCCAGCAGCCGCGGUAAUACGGAGGGUGCAAGCGUUACUCGGAAUCACUGGGCGUAAAGGACGCGUAGGCGGGUUGGAAAGUCAGGUGUGAAAUCCUACAGCUUAACUGUAGAACUGCACUUGAAACUUCUAAUCUAGAGUAUGGGAGGGGGAGAUGGAAUUAGUGGUGUAGGGGUAACAUCCGUAGAUAUCACUAGGAAUACCUAAAGCGAAGGCGAUCUCCUGGAACAUUACUGACGCUAAGGCGUGAAAGCGUGGGGAGCAGACAGGAUUAGAUACCCGGGUAGUC